UUAAGCGACUAAGCGUACACGGUGGAUGCCCUGGCAGUCAGAGGCGAUGAAGGACGUGCUAAUCUGCGAAAAGCGUCGGUAAGGUGAUAUGAACCGUUAUAACCGGCGAUGUCCGAAUGGGGAAACCCAGUGCAAUUCGUUGCACUAUCGUUAACUGAAUACAUAGGUUAACGAGGCGAACCGGGGGAACUGAAACAUCUAAGUACCCCGAGGAAAAGAAAUCAACCGAGAUUCCCCCAGUAGCGGCGAGCGAACGGGGAGCAGCCCAGAGUCUGAAUCAGCUUGUGUGUUAGUGGAACGGUCUGGAAAGUCCGACGGUACAGGGUGAUAGUCCCGUACACCAAAAUGCACAGGUUGUGAACUCGAAGAGUAGGGCGGGACACGUGGUAUCCUGUCUGAAUAUGGGGGGACCAUCCUCCAAGGCUAAAUACUCCUGACUGACCGAUAGUGAACCAGUACCGUGAGGGAAAGGCGAAAAGAACCCCGGCGAGGGGAGUGAAAAAGAACCUGAAACCGUGUACGUACAAGCAGUGGGAGCACCUUCGGGUGUGACUGCGUACCUUUUGUAUAAUGGGUCAGCGACUUAUAUUCUGUAGCAAGGUUAACCGUAUAGGGGAGCCGCAGGGAAACCGAGUCUUAACUGGGCGUUAAGUUGCAGGGUAUAGACCCGAAACCCGGUGAUCUAGCCAUGGGCAGGUUGAAGGUUGGGUAACACUAACUGGAGGACCGAACCGACUAAUGUUGAAAAAUUAGCGGAUGACUUGUGGCUGGGGGUGAAAGGCCAAUCAAACCGGGAGAUAGCUGGUUCUCCCCGAAAGCUAUUUAGGUAGCGCCUCGUGAACUCAUCUUCGGGGGUAGAGCACUGUUUCGGCUAGGGGGUCAUCCCGACUUACCAACCCGAUGCAAACUACGAAUACCGAAGAAUGUUAUCACGGGAGACACACGGCGGGUGCUAACGUCCGUCGUGAAGAGGGAAACAACCCAGACCGCCAGCUAAGGUCCCAAAGUCAUGGUUAAGUGGGAAACGAUGUGGGAAGGCACAGACAGCCAGGAUGUUGGCUUAGAAGCAGCCAUCAUUUAAAGAAAGCGUAAUAGCUCACUGGUCGAGUCGGCCUGCGCGGAAGAUGUAACGGGGCUAAACCAUGCACCGAAGCUGCGGCAGCGACACUAUGUGUUGUUGGGUAGGGGAGCGUUCUGUAAGCCUGCGAAGGUGACCUGUGAGGGUUGCUGGAGGUAUCAGAAGUGCGAAUGCUGACAUAAGUAACGAUAAAGCGGGUGAAAAGCCCGCUCGCCGGAAGACCAAGGGUUCCUGUCCAACGUUAAUCGGGGCAGGGUGAGUCGACCCCUAAGGCGAGGCCGAAAGGCGUAGUCGAUGGGAAACAGGUUAAUAUUCCUGUACUUGGUGUUACUGCGAAGGGGGGACGGAGAAGGCUAUGUUAGCCGGGCGACGGUUGUCCCGGUUUAAGCAUGUAGGCUGGUUGUCCAGGCAAAUCCGGAUAAUCAAGGCUGAGGUGUGAUGACGAGGCACUACGGUGCUGAAGUAACAAAUGCCCUGCUUCCAGGAAAAGCCUCUAAGCAUCAGGUAACAUUAAAUCGUACCCCAAACCGACACAGGUGGUCAGGUAGAGAAUACCAAGGCGCUUGAGAGAACUCGGGUGAAGGAACUAGGCAAAAUGGUGCCGUAACUUCGGGAGAAGGCACGCUGGUGUGUAGGUGAAGCCCCUGCGGGUGGAGCUGAGACCAGUCGAAGAUACCAGCUGGCUGCAACUGUUUAUUAAAAACACAGCACUGUGCAAACACGAAAGUGGACGUAUACGGUGUGACGCCUGCCCGGUGCCGGAAGGUUAAUUGAUGGGGUUAUCCGUAAGGAGAAGCUCUUGAUCGAAGCCCCGGUAAACGGCGGCCGUAACUAUAACGGUCCUAAGGUAGCGAAAUUCCUUGUCGGGUAAGUUCCGACCUGCACGAAUGGCGUAAUGAUGGCCAGGCUGUCUCCACCCGAGACUCAGUGAAAUUGAACUCGCUGUGAAGAUGCAGUGUACCCGCGGCAAGACGGAAAGACCCCGUGAACCUUUACUAUAGCUUGACACUGAACAUUGAGCCUUGAUGUGUAGGAUAGGUGGGAGGCUUUGAAGCGUGGACGCCAGUCUGCGUGGAGCCAACCUUGAAAUACCACCCUUUAAUGUUUGAUGUUCUAACGUUGGCCCCUUACCGGGGUUGCGGACAGUGUCUGGUGGGUAGUUUGACUGGGGCGGUCUCCUCCCAAAGCGUAACGGAGGAGCACGAAGGUUAGCUAAUCCUGGUCGGACAUCAGGAGGUUAGUGCAAUGGCAUAAGCUAGCUUGACUGCGAGCGUGACGGCGCGAGCAGGUGCGAAAGCAGGUCAUAGUGAUCCGGUGGUUCUGAAUGGAAGGGCCAUCGCUCAACGGAUAAAAGGUACUCCGGGGAUAACAGGCUGAUACCGCCCAAGAGUUCAUAUCGACGGCGGUGUUUGGCACCUCGAUGUCGGCUCAUCACAUCCUGGGGCUGAAGUAGGUCCCAAGGGUAUGGCUGUUCGCCAUUUAAAGUGGUACGCGAGCUGGGUUUAGAACGUCGUGAGACAGUUCGGUCCCUAUCUGCCGUGGGCGCUGGAGAAUUGAGGGGGGCUGCUCCUAGUACGAGAGGACCGGAGUGGACGCAUCACUGGUGUUCGGGUUGUCAUGCCAAUGGCACUGCCCGGUAGCUAAAUGCGGAAGAGAUAAGUGCUGAAAGCAUCUAAGCACGAAACUUGCCCCGAGAUGAGUUCUCCCUGAGACUUUAAGUCUCCUGAAGGAACGUUGAAGACGACGACGUUGAUAGGCCGGGUGUGUAAGCGCAGCGAUGCGUUGAGCUAACCGGUACUAAUGAACCGUGAGGCUUAACCUU
RNAcentral lists this ribosomal RNA (2900 nucleotides) under Klebsiella pneumoniae. Its description in RNAcentral is "bacterial LSU rRNA". It matches the Rfam family "Bacterial large subunit ribosomal RNA". Lineage: Bacteria; Pseudomonadati; Pseudomonadota; Gammaproteobacteria; Enterobacterales; Enterobacteriaceae. The record is from RNAcentral.